This 74-nucleotide transfer RNA is filed under the name Mesocottus haitej (Amur sculpin). RNAcentral's name for it is "tRNA-Leu". It matches the Rfam family "tRNA". Rfam says of the family: Transfer RNA (tRNA) molecules are approximately 80 nucleotides in length. Their secondary structure includes four short double-helical elements and three loops (D, anti-codon, and T loops). Lineage: Eukaryota; Metazoa; Chordata; Actinopteri; Perciformes; Cottidae. The record is from RNAcentral.
GUUAAGGUGGCAGAGCCCGGUAAUUGCAAAAGGCCUAAGCCCUUUCAACAGAAGUUCAAAUCCUCUCCUCAACU